This 733-nucleotide long non-coding RNA is filed under the name Olea europaea subsp. europaea. The record is from RNAcentral. Lineage: Eukaryota; Viridiplantae; Streptophyta; Magnoliopsida; Lamiales; Oleaceae.
CUCAUAGUGAUGUAGGAUGAAUAAGAAAGAAAGAAGAAGGAACGGGGAGGAGAAACAGAGAGAAGGGAGAAGAGGAGAAGAAACCAGGGGAAGAGAGGGGAGGGAGAAAACGGCUGCAAGCCACCAAAAAUAUUUCAAUUCUAAUUCAUCAUCAACUGUCUCAAAUGAGAAACAAAACAGAAAUAAAUAGUAGAACACAAACCCUAAAGAGAAGGGCUUGGGCCAAACCCACUAAACAAGCCCAAUAACAGAAAUAUAAAUAAUAAUCCAACUAGAAUAUAACUAAUAGUCCAAAAAGAAAAUAAAUAGUAAAUGGAAGAAAAUAAAUAGUAAAUGGAUGUCCGCAUCAACUCUCCCGGGGUGGGAGAAAAACUCGACCCCAUCGAGUGGAUAAAUCAAAAUGUUGCAAUGAAUCUGAUGCUAAAGGCUCCAAGUUAUGCCAUGGGGGACGAUCUCUCUGACGAACCAAAUAUCGAAAUUCCACAAAUGGUGACGAUGCCAAUUGUAAAUUACCCGCAAAAACAUGAGACUGCUGAAGUCUCUCUUUGGGAAUCCAUGUGCCGUCAGAAUCAAGUCGAUCCAUCCAACGAACAAGAAAGUUUUGAAUCUCUCUAUUAUUGGUCAACACAAGCUGUUCAUCCAAAAUAACAUCAAUUUUAUUUUUGUGUGCUGUGAUAGGUGAGAUUGAAGCAGACAUGGCAAAAGAGUCAGUGUGGGAAUUCUUAUGUGGGAG